RNAcentral lists this ribosomal RNA (395 nucleotides) under uncultured bacterium. Its description in RNAcentral is "bacterial SSU rRNA". It matches the Rfam family "Bacterial small subunit ribosomal RNA", at positions 505 to 898 of the family's 1533-position model. The record is from RNAcentral.
GUGUCAGCAGCCGCGGUAAUACGUAGGUGACAAGCGUUGUCCGGAUUUAUUGGGCGUAAAGGGCGCGCAGGCGGUUCGUUAAGUCCGAGGUGAAAUUUCCCGGCUCAACUGGGAGGGGUCUUCGGAUACUGGCGGACUUGAGGAGAGCAGAGGUGAGUGGAAUUCUCGGUGUAGUGGUGAAAUGCGUAGAUAUCGAGAGGAACACCAGUGGCGAAGGCGACUCACUGGGCUCCACCUGACGCUGAGGCGCGAAAGCGUGGGGAGCGAACCGGAUUAGAUACCCGGGUAGUCCACGCCGUAAACGAUGGACACUAGGUGUGGGGGGUAUUGACCCCCUCCGUGCCGAAGCCAACGCGAUAAGUGUCCCGCCUGGGGAGUACGGCCGCAAGGCUAAA